ACGUCAGACAUUGAGACGAACAUCAGGAUGAUGACGUUUCAGAGGAACGCCAGGAUGGUGCUGCAAGGAAAGGCUUCAGGAUGAAGCAAAGAGGAUGGCGCAGGACGCGUUAAGGGACACCUCCAGGAUGGAGAAUGAGAGCCAGUCUGGACGAUUGGCGGAUCGGGAAGAUCGGGACCUGCUUAUGGACAGGCAUAUCGUAUCGGGGUGGUACGUGCAGGAUGCAACGGUUUAUGGAUGAACUGGUCAGGAGACCGCAGGAAAAGUUGUCAUGGAUGAGCAGGGAGCACCAAAUUAUGUAGCCGGAUUGCUGCGAAACGAACCGGGAGCACUGUGAAAACAGUGCUCCCUUUUUUUAUG
Pluralibacter gergoviae is the source of this 360-nucleotide small RNA. The record is from Rfam. NCBI's taxonomy places the organism in Bacteria, Pseudomonadati, Pseudomonadota, Gammaproteobacteria, Enterobacterales, Enterobacteriaceae.